GAGAUUUUCUACGAACUGCUAAAUCGUUAUGCCGAACUUAAACCCUCGGGACUCUC
RNAcentral lists this transfer RNA (56 nucleotides) under Agama anchietae. RNAcentral's name for it is "tRNA-Ser". The record is from RNAcentral. Lineage: Eukaryota; Metazoa; Chordata; Lepidosauria; Squamata; Agamidae.